Molecule: long non-coding RNA, 263 nt
Filed under: Daucus carota (carrot)
Lineage: Eukaryota; Viridiplantae; Streptophyta; Magnoliopsida; Apiales; Apiaceae
Description: long non-coding RNA (DCAR_LNC000632)
Source: RNAcentral
UUUUAUUCUAAUAGGAAUAUACAAGGCAAUUCCGAAACUGAAUGGGUUUCCAAAAGGUCAAAAUUCGCAGUUGACUUUCUCCCCUGUUCCUGGGCUGUUUCAGCGGGCUUUUGAUAUCUGGACCCAUCUAGAAUGAUAGAAAAUUAAAUUAUCUUCGCGUGGGCUGUUGAAUCGCCCAAAUCCGACUUCUAGAACUCAAGAUAUGGCCCAAACAAUAUUCCGAAUGCGGGUAGCCCAAUAGUUGCGAAUUUUCUUCUAAUUUG